UACGUAGGGUGCAAGCGUUAAUCGGAAUUACUGGGCGUAAAGCGUGCGCAGGCGGUUUUGUAAGUUUGUCGUGAAAUCCCCGGGCUUAACCUGGGAAUUGCGAUGAAGACUUCAAGGCUAGAAUCUGGCAGAGGGGGGUAGAAUUCCACGUGUAGCAGUGAAAUGCGUAGAGAUGUGGAGGAACACCGAUGGCGAAGGCAGCCCCCUGGGUCAAGAUUGACGCUCAUGCACGAAAGCGUGGGGAGCAAACAGG
This 253-nucleotide ribosomal RNA is filed under the name uncultured bacterium. RNAcentral's name for it is "partial 16S ribosomal RNA". It matches the Rfam family "Bacterial small subunit ribosomal RNA", at positions 524 to 776 of the family's 1533-position model. The record is from RNAcentral.